ACAGGUGAGUCAUCGAAUCUUUGAACGCAACUUGCGCUCUCUGGUAUUCCGGAGAGCAUGCCUGUUUGAGUGUCAUGAUCUCUCAACCAAUAGGGUUUCUUAUUGGCUUGGAUCUGGGUGCUGCCAGCUUGUCUGGCUCGCCUUAAAGGAGUUAGCGAGUAUAGCAAUGUCGUCUGGCGUAAUAAGUUUCGCUGGGUUGACGUGUGAAGCACGCUUCUAAUCGCCCUCGGGCAAUUUUUGACUCUGGCCUCAAAUCAGGUAGGACUACCCGCUGAACUUAAGCAUAUCAAUAAGCGGAGG
RNAcentral lists this unclassified non-coding RNA (300 nucleotides) under uncultured Cryptococcus. Its description in RNAcentral is "sequence contains 5.8S rRNA gene, ITS2". The stretch from base 1 to 75 matches the Rfam family "5.8S ribosomal RNA", at positions 80 to 154 of the family's 154-position model. The record is from RNAcentral. Lineage: Eukaryota; Fungi; Basidiomycota; Tremellomycetes.